UGUGAGCUCGAUGAGUAGGGCGGGACACGUGGUAUCCUGUCUGAAUAUGGGGGGACCAUCCUCCAAGGCUAAAUACUCCUGACUGACCGAUAGUGAACCAGUACCGUGAGGGAAAGGCGAAAAGAACCCCGGCGAGGGGAGUGAAAAAGAACCUGAAACCGUGUACGUACAAGCAGUGGGAGCACGCUUAGGCGUGUGACUGCGUACCUUUUGUAUAAUGGGUCAGCGACUUAUAUUCUGUAGCAAGGUUAACCGAAUAGGGGAGCCGAAGGGAAACCGAGUCUUAACUGGGCGUUAAGUUGCAGGGUAUAGACCCGAAACCCGGUGAUCUAGCCAUGGGCAGGUUGAAGGUUGGGUAACACUAACUGGAGGACCGAACCGACUAAUGUUGAAAAAUUAGCGGAUGACUUGUGGCUGGGGGUGAAAGGCCAAUCAAACCGGGAGAUAGCUGGUUCUCCCCGAAAGCUAUUUAGGUAGCGCCUCGUGAAUUCAUCUCCGGGGGUAGAGCACUGUUUCGGCAAGGGGGUCAUCCCGACUUACCAACCCGAUGCAAACUGCGAAUACCGGAGAAUGUUAUCACGGGAGACACACGGCGGGUGCUAACGUCCGUCGUGAAGAGGGAAACAACCCAGACCGCCAGCUAAGGUCCCAAAGUCAUGGUUAAGUGGGAAACGAUGUGGGAAGGCCCAGACAGCCAGGAUGUUGGCUUAGAAGCAGCCAUCAUUUAAAGAAAGCGUAAUAGCUCACUGGUCGAGUCGGCCUGCGCGGAAGAUGUAACGGGGCUAAACCAUGCACCGAAGCUGCGGCAGCGACGCUUAUGCGUUGUUGGGUAGGGGAGCGUUCUGUAAGCCUGUGAAGGUGUACUGUGAGGUAUGCUGGAGGUAUCAGAAGUGCGAAUGCUGACAUAAGUAACGAUAAAGCGGGUGAAAAGCCCGCUCGCCGGAAGACCAAGGGUUCCUGUCCAACGUUAAUCGGGGCAGGGUGAGUCGACCCCUAAGGCGAGGCCGAAAGGCGUAGUCGAUGGGAAACAGGUUAAUAUUCCUGUACUUGGUGUUACUGCGAAGGGGGGACGGAGAAGGCUAUGUUGGCCGGGCGACGGUUGUCCCGGUUUAAGCGUGUAGGCUGGUUUUCCAGGCAAAUCCGGAAAAUCAAGGCUGAGGCGUGAUGACGAGGCACUACGGUGCUGAAGCAACAAAUGCCCUGCUUCCAGGAAAAGCCUCUAAGCAUCAGGUAACAUCAAAUCGUACCCCAAACCGACACAGGUGGUCAGGUAGAGAAUACCAAGGCGCUUGAGAGAACUCGGGUGAAGGAACUAGGCAAAAUGGUGCCGUAACUUCGGGAGAAGGCACGCUGAUAUGUAGGUGAAGUCCCUCGCGGAUGGAGCUGAAAUCAGUCGAAGAUACCAGCUGGCUGCAACUGUUUAUUAAAAACACAGCACUGUGCAAACACGAAAGUGGACGUAUACGGUGUGACGCCUGCCCGGUGCCGGAAGGUUAAUUGAUGGGGUUAGCGCAAGCGAAGCUCUUGAUCGAAGCCCCGGUAAACGGCGGCCGUAACUAUAACGGUCCUAAGGUAGCGAAAUUCCUUGUCGGGUAAGUUCCGACCUGCACGAAUGGCGUAAUGAUGGCCAGGCUGUCUCCACCCGAGACUCAGUGAAAUUGAACUCGCUGUGAAGAUGCAGUGUACCCGCGGCAAGACGGAAAGACCCCGUGAACCUUUACUAUAGCUUGACACUGAACAUUGAGCCUUGAUGUGUAGGAUAGGUGGGAGGCUUUGAAGUGUGGACGCCAGUCUGCAUGGAGCCG
RNAcentral lists this ribosomal RNA (1805 nucleotides) under Escherichia coli. RNAcentral's name for it is "bacterial LSU rRNA". It matches the Rfam family "Bacterial large subunit ribosomal RNA", at positions 398 to 2188 of the family's 2925-position model. The record is from RNAcentral. Lineage: Bacteria; Pseudomonadati; Pseudomonadota; Gammaproteobacteria; Enterobacterales; Enterobacteriaceae.